RNAcentral lists this ribosomal RNA (457 nucleotides) under uncultured Smithella sp. RNAcentral describes it as "bacterial SSU rRNA". It matches the Rfam family "Bacterial small subunit ribosomal RNA", at positions 925 to 1382 of the family's 1533-position model. The record is from RNAcentral. Lineage: Bacteria; Pseudomonadati; Thermodesulfobacteriota; Syntrophia; Syntrophales; Smithellaceae.
ACAAGCGGUGGAGCAUGUGGUUUAAUUCGAUGCAACGCGAAGAACCUUACCUGGCUUGACAUCCCGAGAAUCUUCUGGAAACAGGAGAGUGCCCUUCGGGGAACUCGGUGACAGGUGUUGCAUGGCUGUCGUCAGCUCGUGUCGUGAGAUGUUGGGUUAAGUCCCGCAACGAGCGCAACCCUUAUCUUUAAUUGCCAGCAUUCAGUUGGGCACUUUAAAGAGACUGCCGGUGUUAAACCGGAGGAAGGUGGGAUGACGUCAAGUCCUCAUGGCCUUUAUGCUUAGGGCUACACACGUGCUACAAUGGGUGGUACAAAGAGAAGCCAACUCGCGAGAGCGCGCCAAUCUCAAAAAGCCAUCCUCAGUUCGGAUUGGAGUCUGCAACUCGACUCCAUGAAGUUGGAAUCGCUAGUAAUCGCGGAUCAGCAUGCCGCGGUCGAAUACGUUCCCGGGCCUU